CCGAGAGCUGAAGCUGGUGGCCCCUAGUGAGUUUCUCAGUAGGCAGGACAACUCCAGGUCACCAGCCAAG
Molecule: microRNA precursor, 70 nt
Filed under: Mesocricetus auratus (golden hamster)
Lineage: Eukaryota; Metazoa; Chordata; Mammalia; Rodentia; Cricetidae
Description: miRNA (ENSMAUG00000005245.1)
Source: RNAcentral